Molecule: ribosomal RNA, 253 nt
Filed under: uncultured bacterium
Lineage: Bacteria
Description: partial 16S ribosomal RNA
Rfam family: Bacterial small subunit ribosomal RNA
Source: RNAcentral
UACGAAGGGGGCUAGCGUUGCUCGGAAUCACUGGGCGUAAAGGGCGCGUAGGCGGCCGAUCAAGUCGGGGGUGAAAGCCUGUGGCUCAACCACAGAAUGGCCUUCGAUACUGUUUGGCUUGAGACCGGAAGAGGUCAGUGGAACUGCGAGUGUAGAGGUGAAAUUCGUAGAUAUUCGCAAGAACACCAGUGGCGAAGGCGGCUGACUGGUCCGGUUCUGACGCUGAGGCGCGAAAGCGUGGGGAGCAAACAGG